Molecule: long non-coding RNA, 1451 nt
Organism: Condylostylus longicornis
Lineage: Eukaryota; Metazoa; Arthropoda; Insecta; Diptera; Dolichopodidae
Exons: 3
Source: RefSeq, a predicted model, not a curated record
GAGUUUACACAUCGUAACAUUUUUGUCGCAUAAAGGUUUGAAAAAUGAUGAUAAAUACAAAUAUAUUGAGUGAUGUUCUUAAUUCAAAUAUAUAUUACACUUUAGCAAUUAAUUAAGUUAAAAAAUGUAUUGCUAUUAGUUUAAAUAUACGUAAUAAAAGUGUUUAUGAAAAAUAUUUUCUGAAGUGCGUUUAAUAACCGUUUAGAUCAAAAAUUUAUCUAUCCAAAUAUUGCCAUUCAAACAUAUCAAAAAUUUUUGGAACAUCAUUUAUAUAAAAAUUUAGUGAUAAAUAAGUAAGAACAAUAUUUGAAAAAAAUUAAUACUCGUAUAAUGCAUCUAAGCUUUGUGGGUUCAAAAUUAUAAAUUAAACUUUAGUUUCCUUACUUUGAUACAGUUUAUAUUUAAAUUAUUAUUGAAAACAGUUUAUGCAAUAUAUGGACCAAUAUACAAAAUUUAUGUUCUGAAUAUGUAAUGUUUAGCUUCUUAUGACUUCAAGCACAUAGUAGGUACAUAGAGGUAUAUGAAGCCUGCUUUUAUACUUGAAUAUAUGUACAUAAUAUUACAGUAAUAUAUGUUGUACUUAUAAAAUUGCUUAAUUUCAAUUAAAAAAAGAAUUAUAUAUAACUUUUUAUUAGAAUAAAGUAAAAGAAGGAAAAAAAGUGAAAAAUUAUGUACAUAUUUAUAAGUAUUGUUAUAAGAAAAUUUUAGUCACUAAAUAUUUUUUCAACACAAUUUUCAUUAGCCCAGAAAUUUAUUUUUAUAUAAAUAAAAAAAAAUUAAUAAAAAUAAAAUUCAAACUCCGAAUUAAAUUUUCCUGAAGAAAAGUGUAACAAGUUAAAUUUGUCUUUUUUGGUAUUUUUAACUUAUAUUACGAAUAAAUACAUGUACAUAUAAAUAUACAAAAAAUAUAUAAAAAGAAAAAGGAACAAACAGGGAGCACUUCUAAAUAAAUAUAUAGAACAUAAAUACAUAACACUUUAUUUAUAUUAUUAUAUUAUAUUUAUCCUACUUUUUGAGAAAUUGAAAUUGAACAAAUAAAUAAAUAAAUAAAAACUAAAUGUGUACCAGUUAAAAUAUAGCAAGAACAUUUAAAGCAUAAAGAAAAAAUUAAUUUAAAAAUAUCUCGACAAAACAUAUAAGCAAAUAAAAUACAACGAUCCUACUUACAUAUAAUUCAUCUCCAUACAUAUAUGUAGGUGUACUUACCUGGAUAUAAACAAUAUUUUGUUUUUUCAUAAUACAUAUGCAUAUAAAAUAUUUCAAUAUAAGCGUGUUAAAAUACUUAUAUCAAAAUAAAAUAAAAUUAUCAAGAAUAAAAAGGAAAAAAAAAUUAUAUACAAAGUUUUUUUAUAUCGUUAAGGUUAAAUGUGUUACACAAAUAAAUAAGACUAUCAUUAUAUAUACAUACAUAUAAAAAUAAAUUUAAUAUGCGUGAAUUAAUACCUUUACAA